UAAGCUGAAUUUCUGGGCUGGUAGUUUUAAUCAACAGUCUGCUGCUGCACGUGGAUGAACUCACUUCCAUGGCUCUUCCAAUUGGGGUUUCUUGGCUUUGCACUCUGUUGUUAUGGUGCUGCAUUUGUUUUCCUCCUGAAAAAGGUCACAUUGUUGCACAUGGCUACUUUUUCAAUGAUGGUGAAUUCAGUAGCCAUGGAGGUGUGCUUGGUCCACAAACAUCAAACCAGUUUCAUUCUGGACCAUCUUUAAACACAAACCAAGAAUCCGUUAGUCCAAGGGCUGGGAUGCAAGCUAUGAGGGACCAAAGCUUUGUUUCCCUUCAGAGAGAACCAGUCCAUGAAAACAAUGAAGAAGCUAGCUCCGUUACUAGCCUCAGUGAAGAGAUGGUACAACGCAAACCAGACUCCGAAAAGGAUGUCCCCUCCGGUGCCCCAAUGCAGAAAUAUGAGCGUGAAGGUUCUGACUCUCAACAACACCCCUUUGGCCUUUUAGUGAAACUGCACACACAAGAGAGAACUGUGGAGGGCACCAGUUUUCAAACAAUUAAAGAUUUCAACCGGUUUAUA
Molecule: long non-coding RNA, 569 nt
Organism: Perca fluviatilis (European perch)
Lineage: Eukaryota; Metazoa; Chordata; Actinopteri; Perciformes; Percidae
Exons: 3
Source: RefSeq, a predicted model, not a curated record